This 837-nucleotide ribosomal RNA is filed under the name uncultured archaeon. RNAcentral's name for it is "bacterial SSU rRNA". It matches the Rfam family "Archaeal small subunit ribosomal RNA", at positions 21 to 859 of the family's 1478-position model. The record is from RNAcentral.
AGGUUACUGCUAUCGGUGUUCGCCUAAGCCAUGCGAGUCAUAUGUUCGUAAGAACAUGGCGUACUGCUCAGUAACACGUGGAUAACCUGCCCUUGGGUCCGGCAUAACCCCGGGAAACUGGGGAUAAUUCCGGAUAACGCACAUAUGCUGGAAUGCUUUAUGCGUAAAAUGGAUUCGUCUGCCCAAGGAUGGGUCUGCGGCCUAUCAGGUAGUAGUGGGUGUAAUGUACCUACUAGCCUACGACGGGUACGGGUUGUGAGAGCAAGAGCCCGGAGAUGGAUUCUGAGACAUGAAUCCAGGCCCUACGGGGCGCAGCAGGCGCGAAAACUUUACAAUGCGGGAAACCGUGAUAAGGGGACACCGAGUGCCAGCAUCCUAUGCUGGCUGUCCGGGUGUGUAAAAUACACCUGUUAGCAAGGCCGGGCAAGACCGGUGCCAGCCGCCGCGGUAACACCGGCGGCCCGAGUGGUGAUCGUGAUUAUUGGGUCUAAAGGGUCCGUAGCCGGUUUGGUCAGUCCUCCGGGAAAUCUGACAGCUUAACUGUUAGGCUUUCGGAGGAUACUGCCAGACUUGGAACCGGGAGAGGUAAGAGGUACUACAGGGGUAGGAGUGAAAUCUUGUAAUCCCUGUGGGACCACCUGUGGCGAAGGCGUCUUACCAGAACGGGUUCGACGGUGAGGGACGAAAGCUGGGGGCACGAACCGGAUUAGAUACCCGGGUAGUCCCAGCCGUAAACGAUGCUCGCUAGGUGUCAGGCAUGGCGCGACCGUGUCUGGUGCCGCAGGGAAGCCGUGAAGCGAGCCACCUGGGAAGUACGGCCGCAAGGCUGAAACUUAA